RNAcentral lists this ribosomal RNA (253 nucleotides) under uncultured bacterium. Its description in RNAcentral is "partial 16S ribosomal RNA". It matches the Rfam family "Bacterial small subunit ribosomal RNA", at positions 524 to 776 of the family's 1533-position model. The record is from RNAcentral.
UACGUAGGGACCGAGCGUUGUCCGGAAUCAUUGGGCGUAAAGAGCGUGUAGGCGGCCUUUUAAGUCCUGCGUGAAAUCCUGCGGCUCAACCGCAGACGGUCGUGGGAAACUGGAAGGCUAGAGUGCGGGAGAGGAGAGUGGAAUUCCCGGUGUAGCGGUGAAAUGCGCAGAUAUCGGGAAGAGCACCCGUGGCGAAGGCGGCUCUCUGGGACGGUACUGACGCUGAGACGCGAAAGCGUGGGGAGCGAACAGG